GGUUAAGCGACUAAGCGUACACGGUGGAUGCCCUGGCAGUCAGAGGCGAUGAAGGACGUGCUAAUCUGCGAUAAGCGUCGGUAAGGUGAUAUGAACCGUUAUAACCGGCGAUUUCCGAAUGGGGAAACCCAGUGUGAUUCGUCACACUAUCAUUAACUGAAUCCAUAGGUUAAUGAGGCGAACCGGGGGAACUGAAACAUCUAAGUACCCCGAGGAAAAGAAAUCAACCGAGAUUCCCCCAGUAGCGGCGAGCGAACGGGGAGGAGCCCAGAGCCUGAAUCAGUGUGUGUGUUAGUGGAAGCGUCUGGAAAGGCGCGCGAUACAGGGUGACAGCCCCGUACACAAAAAUGCACAUGCUGUGAGCUCGAUGAGUAGGGCGGGACACGUGGUAUCCUGUCUGAAUAUGGGGGGACCAUCCUCCAAGGCUAAAUACUCCUGACUGACCGAUAGUGAACCAGUACCGUGAGGGAAAGGCGAAAAGAACCCCGGCGAGGGGAGUGAAAAAGAACCUGAAACCGUGUACGUACAAGCAGUGGGAGCACAGAGCAAUCUGUGUGACUGCGUACCUUUUGUAUAAUGGGUCAGCGACUUAUAUUCUGUAGCAAGGUUAACCGAAUAGGGGAGCC
Molecule: ribosomal RNA, 626 nt
Filed under: Escherichia coli
Lineage: Bacteria; Pseudomonadati; Pseudomonadota; Gammaproteobacteria; Enterobacterales; Enterobacteriaceae
Also listed under: 2 other names
Description: partial 23S ribosomal RNA
Rfam family: Bacterial large subunit ribosomal RNA
Source: RNAcentral